AUCUAGGGUAUUUUCUCUAAUACAAUCCAGAUUUUUUCUUAUUUUCUUCCCAAAAUUUGUUGGAACAGUACAAAAGAUUUAGCGCAGCGUUUUUCAUUUUUAUUAUUUUGUCAUUGAAAAAAAAAUGUUCACGGGUACCAUUCACACCCAAGAAAAAAAUUAGUUUUAGUAUUUUUCAGUUUUUGGAGGAAAAAAAAUCAGAUUGCUAUACCUGCUAAGAUUUCAAUUUUUGCUGCUGUUUUGUUCCACAUUUAUCAUAUACUCGACAAAUUUGCAACCCUAAAAGUCCACUAUUAUUCAAGAAUCCUAAAAUCAGCUAUAUUAACCCAAUCCCGUUAGCCUGUUAGCCCACGUCCACCAUUACUAACCCAUCCACAAAUUAACUCUAGCCACUUACACCAAGCCCACUACUCUCUGGAAUCCACCCACCUUACAAAUAGGACAUUAAACCGACCCAAUACCAUCCAAACCCAUUACUCUCUCAGAACUCAGCCAACAACCCAGCCUAACUCUUUCAUCUUCUCCAAUCAACCUAGCUUCAAGCCAGACACGUAUCUUCGACCAGAUGCCAGCCAUAUCUCCAAUAGGAACUCGAGUUUGUUCCCUCGCUUUCGCCAGUCACCUUCACCACCACAACAAUACCCACCAUUACAGCCGCCGUCACCAUCACCCUCGACCAGCAAGUCACACUGUCGCCACCGCUCAAUACUCAUAGCAAUUCACUGCUGGCAACCCUCACCUUGCCAUCACCUCACAGAAUCGACACCACUCCAUUACAUAUCCACAAAACCUGCAACCCACAUAUUUCAAUACACCAACCAACCUGCAGGCACAUAGGCUAACUUCGCAGUUUAUCCUCAAGUAUACUGUAUUGGCUGUGUAUUGAAAUUGAAGUCGACCACGUAGACUGAUAUUUUGGAAAUGAGACGAGUUGCAAAGCAAGUUACUGAACGGAUUACUGAAGCCUCAUAUAUGCAUGAAUUGGAAUAGGAAUAUUGAUCACACUACUAAUGAUUUGACUGAGAUCUCGUGAGUACAUCGCUGACAAAUCAAGCUUCCGUGGGCCUCGCCUUUGCAAUCGGACAACGGGGAGUUCUUGACCUCUAUUUAUUAUUAGUGUACACUACUGCUUUAUUUAAAAUUGUAUCAUUUAAUUUUUGCGUUGCUGUUAUUUGAUAAUUGCGGCCUUAAAAUCCACUUGAUCGGAAUUCGUGAAUUAACCCCCAUUGUUCCCCGAUUACCCCCACGUGAUUCGACCUUUUGAUUAGUCAUUU
RNAcentral lists this long non-coding RNA (1274 nucleotides) under Olea europaea subsp. europaea. The record is from RNAcentral. Lineage: Eukaryota; Viridiplantae; Streptophyta; Magnoliopsida; Lamiales; Oleaceae.